This 460-nucleotide ribosomal RNA is filed under the name uncultured bacterium. RNAcentral's name for it is "bacterial SSU rRNA". It matches the Rfam family "Bacterial small subunit ribosomal RNA", at positions 28 to 507 of the family's 1533-position model. The record is from RNAcentral.
GACGAACGCUGGCGGCACGCUUAACACAUGCAAGUCGAACGGUGAAAAGAAGCUUGCUUCUUGGAUCAGUGGCGGACGGGUGAGUAACACGUGAGCAACCUGCCUUUAAGAGGGGGAUAACGUCCGGAAACGGACGCUAAUACCGCAUAACAUAUGGGAUUCGCAUGUUUUCCAUAUCAAAGAUUUAUCGCUUAAAGAUGGGCUCGCGUCUGAUUAGCUAGUUGGUGAGGUAACGGCUCACCAAGGCGACGAUCAGUAGCCGGACUGAGAGGUUGAACGGCCACAUUGGGACUGAGACACGGCCCAGACUCCUACGGGAGGCAGCAGUGGGAAUAUUGCACAAUGGGCGCAAGCCUGAUGCAGCGAUGCCGCGUGAGGGAAGACGGUCUUCGGAUUGUAAACUUUGUCUUAGUGAAGAAACAUGACGGUAGCUAAGGAGAAAGCCACGGCUAACUACGUG